GGAGGGUACAGUUCAGUGGCAGAGCGUGUGCUUAGCAUGCAUGAGGUCCUGGGUUCAAUCUCCAGCACCUCCA
This is a non-coding RNA of Camelus ferus (Wild Bactrian camel), 73 nucleotides long. NCBI's taxonomy places the organism in Eukaryota, Metazoa, Chordata, Mammalia, Artiodactyla, Camelidae. The record is from Rfam.